UGUGAGUGAAGAAGAGAAGAAAAGAAAAUGCCGAGUAGCAGAUUUGCAGGUUCUUUAUCAACCCCCAAAAUUGAUGUGGCAAUCGACAUGGGCAAUCCCUUCCUCAAUCUCACCGUCGAUGGUUUCUUGAAGAUCGGAACUGUUGCAGCUGCUAGAGUUCUUGCAGAGGAUGCAUACUAUGUGGUUAAACGAGGGAAUAUUUCCACUCGCAAUUUUGAGCACACGGUGAGCUUUUUCUACUCAUAUUACUGCAAUCGUGAAAAUCCUAUACAGGAUUUCCCUUUUUUAUUUUGCAAUAAUGUUUUAUAUCUCACAUGCUAUUCAUUAUUCUGUAAUUUGAUUCCAAGUAUUAUCUUGGAUUGAAGAAAUUUUGUUCCAAAUUCUUAAAUGUUAUUGAUUGAUCUAUAGGAAGAGAAAAAGCCUGAAGUUUCAAAUGAUUUCUCAUAUCUUCAUUUCCCUUAUUAGUGAUUGAUCUUCUCAUUGCUAUUUCCGCUUUUAUCUGCUAUUCUCUGGUAUCUACUUGAGUAUUUCUGUAAAUGUCUAAUCCUUUUUUAAGGAAAGAUUGUUAGUGAUACUAGCCACAUGAUAGCCAUGGAAUUCUGAACUUCACAAGGUUCUGCCGCCAGUUGUUACGACUAUAUCAGCGAUCAUCUUCUUAUGAUUACUUUAAAACUAUUUUCAGCCUUCUAAUUCACGGGUACUUUAUUGAAUUUUGAAAAUUGAUUGCAAAAAGGUCCAAAGCAAACUACGUGCACCACAUUUUCUUAUCGAAGGGCUUAUUUAAUAUUAAUUUAUUGAAGAUUUUUCUGAUUGUUUUAUUCAAACUUGCAAUAAUGGAUGAAAAGAUGCAAUCUUUGUUUUCUUGCUCAUGGGAUACUGUUAUUGCAGCUCAAAAAGAUGUGCAAAGAAGGUGCUUAUUGGGGUAAGGAUGUGUUAUAUUUCAUUGGCUAAUGAAUUUUUCAUUUUCGGUUAGAGAUCCUGUUUUUUUCUUGGCAAAUGCUUUAGUUGCCUUGUGUUGCUAAACCCCCAUUAAGAAUUUAGGAACGUAUUUUAUUGUGCUUACAGGAACUGUCGCUGGGGUUUAUGUUGGAAUGGAAUAUGGAAUGGAGAGGAUUCGUGGCACCCAUGACUGGAAAAAUGCCAUGCUUGGGGGUGCAUUGACUGGAGCUCUGAUAUCUGCUGCCAGUAACAGGAACAAAGACAAGAUUGUGACAGAUGCCCUCACAGGAGGUGCCAUUGCAACUGCUGCAACAUUCCUUAACUAUCUCACUUAAAUCAGCGAAGCUUGAAUUGUUCCUAAUAUCUUUGGCAAAUUGCGAGGCAUUAGAUGUCAGUGGCAUCAUUUUCCUUUCAUCAUAAAUGUAGAAUGCCAGAGUAAUCAUAAAUGUUCCAUAUUGUAGAAUGUUGAGCUCGACUGCGGUUAGUGGAAUGAAUUUGUUCUAUCUAUAUGCUACUUGUGUUUUUUCUUGAAUAAUUAGCAUCACAGUGUUUUAAUGGAUUCUGUAUCCAUAAACUUGACUUAGAGGGCUUAUGGUUGUGUUCUUAGAUUUCAUUUGAGACUACUCUUGAUUCUAAUUUCUAAAGCAUCUUACCCACCUAGGGUUCACUGCUUGCUGUGGUGGUUAUCAAAUGGCAGAUUAAUU
RNAcentral lists this unclassified non-coding RNA (1643 nucleotides) under Hevea brasiliensis (rubber tree). Lineage: Eukaryota; Viridiplantae; Streptophyta; Magnoliopsida; Malpighiales; Euphorbiaceae. The record is from RNAcentral.